This 101-nucleotide ribosomal RNA is filed under the name Salvator merianae (Argentine black and white tegu). Lineage: Eukaryota; Metazoa; Chordata; Lepidosauria; Squamata; Teiidae. The record is from RNAcentral.
UAGCAUACAAGCUAACUUAACCAAUAUUUUCUAAUCUUGGAAGCUAAGCAGCUUGUGCCUGGUUAGUCUUUGGAUGGGAGACUGGAAAUAUCAGCUCCUAU